CGGUGGAUGAUCAACCUCGGGGAACCAAGCGUUGGCUUCUUCGUAUGGGAUGGAAGGAUUGCCGAUGAUCGGUGGACCACGAUGAAAUCCCGGUGGCUUCGUGUAGAUCACUUCAACGGGAUUACAAAAAAAAAAAAAAACACGGUCGAAUCGAAAAUAUCUCACCUGGAGGGACAGGACCGACGUAUAUCCCCGAUCCAAUUCUAGAUUGUGCAUAAGGGAACGGUUUUCCAUGCACCCUUCUCACACGUUGAUACCAUCCAGGAUAAAACACGUCGUUCCUCGCUUGAAUUCCAGACGCGUGCGAUUGCUGUUGUUGCAUUAAAGAUCGGUUGAUUAACCGGCAAAGCUUGCAACGUCUGCCUUUGAUGCAUAAGUUGUGCGGUCAAAUGUUGAUUCACCGAGGAGGAUGACACGGGUUGCUGAUUGACCUGCAUCACCGGUUGUUGCUGCGCUAAUUGUUGUUCAUUAGCGUUUCGUUCGACGUUCUUGAGAUUUUCUUUGCUUUGUAAAUAAUGAUCCAAAGAGAGCCGUGAUUCUUCUGGCGUCUUGGAGUUUAGAAAAGUGUUCAACGCUACUUGGGCCUUGGAGGUGAUCCCUUGAUUGUUGAUUUGCGGAUUGGUUCGAAUUAUUAACGUCUGGGAACAAUGACGAAGGAUGAAAGUUUUCAGAAGAUUCUGUCAAAAUAUCCGUCGUGUUCUCUGCCACUUUUUGUCUUGCAGUUUUUUCCAAGAGUCGUGAUUCCACGGCCGUGUACUCGGUGUUUUCCGUCAACGGAUUACCCUCGAAGUUUAAUUGACCAUUGACUAAUCCUAUGAGAACCAACAAGAUCGUUGCCAGCUUCAUGAUCCUGGAAUUAAUGGAAAAUAAUGGAAGCUUUUAGAAGAAGAAUCAUUGGUUAAUAAUUUCAAUUAAUUGUAAUUAAUACGAUUAACAAACAAAAAAGAUUAAUAUUUGAAGCGUUUUGUCAUCUUUGAUUCUAUGGUUGGUAAAAAGAAAGAAACCAGUUAUACAAAUAUUUUAUUAUUUAUAUUCCAUAUAGAUAAUAUACGUUUAAUUGAAAUAUAUGGAAAAGUAGAUCGAUUGUACAUUCAUGAAUCGAUUGACACGGGUUAAAGACCAGCGUAACACUUUCUUCGGUCAACGUGGACAUAAUCACGCUAACAUGAAAACACGUUUUCAUUAAUCGCUUUCUGAUGAAGAUAUUUCUUUUAUCACACCGUUAAAAAGUUACAUAUUACCAUUCUUUUUAUUUAAGUCUUUAAAGUCUUAAGAUAUAUUGCUUCAAAAUCGUAAAUCUUUCAUACGUGAAAGAGAAUCGUAAAUAAAUCUAUAAAACAUUUCUAUUUGAAUUUCAUGAAAUAAACCGAAUUAUGAAUCGAGACAUUACCAGACAUACGACAUUGAUCACAUAUCGCAUAAUAUAUAAAACUACGAUUUUUAAAAUUAUAUUUUUGACUAAAAUAGUGAAAAAAAAAA
Long non-coding RNA from Apis mellifera (honey bee), 1479 nucleotides. RefSeq lists it as uncharacterized. The record is from RefSeq and is a predicted model, not a curated record. The transcript has 6 exons. NCBI's taxonomy places the organism in Eukaryota, Metazoa, Arthropoda, Insecta, Hymenoptera, Apidae.